CUUUGGAGAAUUGUGCUGUAGUAUCUCUGACUUAAUGUAUCCCGCGGAAUAGGAUUAUUUGAAAUUGAAGGGCAGCAGGAAAAUAACUGAUGCAGGAUCAAGUGAGAGAUAUCAGCUUCUGGUUUCUGAUGGCUGCCACUUGAACGAGUAUGCCUUGCCUGCAAGACAUUUGAAUGACAAGUUGACGUCUGGAGAGCUGUCGGUCUACUCUAUAGUCCGAAUGAACCACUUGUUUACAUCUAUGGUUAAAAAAUUAGGAAGGCCAGAAAUCUGUCUUAAAAUUCAUAAUAUUAAAGGCAUAGGACUACCUAAACAUACAGUGGACAGACAACAAAUGGUAAACAAUAUCUGAACAGCGAUUUGUUGUGGUAACACACAAAAUUACUUCCAACUGAAGAGCCAGUAUUAUAGAAGGUUGAGCCAUCUGAAACUGAACUGGCUGAUGUUUUACUAGGAGAAAACAUUUCCUGUAUAAUUUUCAAAAAUGAAUCACACAUACGCAGAAAAGUGGGAGUGAGUGUGUGAUGAUAAUCCAUGACCUGACAAUACUGGCAAAGGGGUCGGAGGUCAGGGUGAUUAUUGGCAAUCCUGUAGCCUUGCCAGAGGGUGGCUUCAGUACGGCAGCACUGCCUGCACCCACAGGGCCAGCAAUAACGUCUCUUGCAGAGUCCAGGAUACAAGCAAAUGUCAGUGCAGGAUCCACCCACACACAGCCGUUGCUAUCUUAGAUGGGAAAUAACCCUACUGAACUUUCACCUCCAGCUGACGAGCACGUAUUCCCACUCACUAGUUCCAGCUGGUACCAGAACGAGAGCGGGACUCCAGUUUACAAGAAUUAUUUGAAAUUGUUGAGAGAAUGCCGAAGAAUAUCAAGGGCCCUAAACUGUAAAUUCAUUUCAUUACAGGAGCUGGAUUCCAAUUUACAGAAAUUGAUUGGAAAAUCCGUUUCUGUAAACUGGAGUCCAGCUCCUGCAAUAAAAACAUUUAGCUGAGAUAAAUAUUUAUUUACAAAAAUCA
This is an RNA transcript of Schistocerca nitens (vagrant locust), 1017 nucleotides long. RefSeq lists it as uncharacterized. NCBI's taxonomy places the organism in Eukaryota, Metazoa, Arthropoda, Insecta, Orthoptera, Acrididae. The record is from RefSeq and is a predicted model, not a curated record. The transcript has 6 exons.